UACGAAGGGUGCUAGCGUUGUUCGGAUUUACUGGGCGUAAAGCGCGUGUAGGCGGGACGUUAAGUUGGGGGUGAAAGCCCAGAGCUCAACUCUGGAACUGCCUUCGAUACUGGCGGCCUGGAGCAUGAUAGAGGCGAGUGGAAUUGCGAGUGUAGAGGUGAAAUUCGUAGAUAUUCGCAGGAACACCAGUGGCGAAGGCGACUCGCUGGAUCAUUGCUGACGCUGAGACGCGAAAGCGUGGGGAGCAAACAGG
This 253-nucleotide ribosomal RNA is filed under the name uncultured bacterium. Its description in RNAcentral is "partial 16S ribosomal RNA". It matches the Rfam family "Bacterial small subunit ribosomal RNA", at positions 524 to 776 of the family's 1533-position model. The record is from RNAcentral.